AGAGUUUGAUCCUGGCUCAGAAUGAACGCUGGCGGCGUGCUUAACACAUGCAAGUCGUGCGCGAAGGCGGCUUCGGCUGCCGGAGAGCGGCGAACGGGUGAGUAACACGUGGGUAAUCUGCCUGGGAGUGGGGGAUAACCUGGGGAAACCCGGGCUAACACCGCAUACGACGUCGGGUUCUUGGACCCGAUUUGAAAGCUGGCCUCUGCUUGCAAGCUAGCGCUCCCAGAGGAGCCCGCGGCUGAUUAGCUGGUUGGUGGGGUAAUGGCCUACCAAGGCGACGAUCAGUAGCCGGCCUGAGAGGGUGAUCGGCCACACUGGAACUGAGACACGGUCCAGACUCCUACGGGAGGCAGCAGUGGGGAAUAUUGGACAAUGGGCGCAAGCCUGAUCCAGCAACGCCGCGUGGAGGACGAAGGUCUUCGGAUCGUAAACUCCUGUCAGGUGGGACGAAGGUUCGGGGGUGAAUAAUCCUCGAGCUUGACGGUACUACCAGAGGAAGCCCCGGCUAACUCCGUGCCAGCAGCCGCGGUAAUACGGAGGGGGCGAGCGUUAUUCGGAAUUAUUGGGCGUAAAGGGCGCGUAGGCGGCUUGAUAAGUCAAAGGUGAAAUCCCUCGGCUCAACUGAGGAACUGCCUUUGAAACUGUCUGGCUUGAGGCCGGGAGGGGAGCGGAAUUCCCAGUGUAGCGGUGAAAUGCGUAGAUAUUGGGAGGAACACCGGUGGCGAAGGCGGCUACCUGGACCGGUUCUGACGCUGGUGCGCGAAAGCAUGGGUAGCAAACAGGAUUAGAUACCCUAGUAGUCC
Molecule: ribosomal RNA, 806 nt
Filed under: uncultured bacterium
Lineage: Bacteria
Description: bacterial SSU rRNA
Rfam family: Bacterial small subunit ribosomal RNA
Source: RNAcentral